ACAAGCUUAGUUUAAUUGGGAAAACAUCAGUCUCCAAAACUGAAAGUUGAGAGUUGAGUCUUUCAGCUUGUGCCA
This 75-nucleotide transfer RNA is filed under the name Clostridia bacterium. Its description in RNAcentral is "tRNA-Trp". It matches the Rfam family "tRNA". From Rfam's summary of the family: Transfer RNA (tRNA) molecules are approximately 80 nucleotides in length. Lineage: Bacteria; Bacillati; Bacillota; Clostridia. The record is from RNAcentral.